CGUUGCUGUGCUCGUGAGUAUGACAAGAUUCUUCAUCCUCCUCCCCUGUUCUCCCUUGUUCGUGCAUUGGGCCCUUCCCCCUGGUCAUGCUUUGAGACAUUCAAACCUCUCCUUCUUCUCUAUUCUUGCCAAGAGUGUUUAUAGGAGGUGCUAGCCCCAUGCGAUGACCAAUGCACGUGGAAUGGAGGGAUGGUUAUUCGUGAGCAUCGUACUCACGUUUGUUUCAUGGCUUCGACUGCGUUUGGUUACUUACCCUCAUAGACCAUGUGUCCACAUUUGUUUCAUGGUUUCAGCUAUGCUUGGUUACUUACGCUCGUGGAUUGUGUGUCCAUGUUUGUAUUCGUGUCAUAAGCCGCGUUCGGUUAUUUAUUCUCAUGGAUUUUGUGUCCACGUUUGUUAAUUAUUCUGAUAAGUUUCUAUAAUAUAAAUUUGAUUAUUUGAUGA
Prosopis cineraria is the source of this 444-nucleotide long non-coding RNA. RefSeq lists it as uncharacterized. Lineage: Eukaryota; Viridiplantae; Streptophyta; Magnoliopsida; Fabales; Fabaceae. The transcript is spliced from 2 exons. The record is from RefSeq and is a predicted model, not a curated record.